This 673-nucleotide ribosomal RNA is filed under the name Staphylococcus aureus. RNAcentral's name for it is "bacterial SSU rRNA". It matches the Rfam family "Bacterial small subunit ribosomal RNA", at positions 220 to 884 of the family's 1533-position model. Lineage: Bacteria; Bacillati; Bacillota; Bacilli; Caryophanales; Staphylococcaceae. The record is from RNAcentral.
UAUAGAUGGAUCCGCGCUGCAUUAGCUAGUUGGUAAGGUAACGGCUUACCAAGGCAACGAUGCAUAGCCGACCUGAGAGGGUGAUCGGCCACACUGGAACUGAGACACGGUCCAGACUCCUACGGGAGGCAGCAGUAGGGAAUCUUCCGCAAUGGGCGAAAGCCUGACGGAGCAACGCCGCGUGAGUGAUGAAGGUCUUCGGAUCGUAAAACUCUGUUAUUAGGGAAGAACAUAUGUGUAAGUAACUGUGCACAUCUUGACGGUACCUAAUCAGAAAGCCACGGCUAACUACGUGCCAGCAGCCGCGGUAAUACGUAGGUGGCAAGCGUUAUCCGGAAUUAUUGGGCGUAAAGCGCGCGUAGGCGGUUUUUUAAGUCUGAUGUGAAAGCCCACGGCUCAACCGUGGAGGGUCAUUGGAAACUGGAAAACUUGAGUGCAGAAGAGGAAAGUGGAAUUCCAUGUGUAGCGGUGAAAUGCGCAGAGAUAUGGAGGAACACCAGUGGCGAAGGCGACUUUCUGGUCUGUAACUGACGCUGAUGUGCGAAAGCGUGGGGAUCAAACAGGAUUAGAUACCCUGGUAGUCCACGCCGUAAACGAUGAGUGCUAAGUGUUAGGGGGUUUCCGCCCCUUAGUGCUGCAGCUAACGCAUUAAGCACUCCGCCUGGGGAGUACG